Long non-coding RNA from Pseudophryne corroboree (corroboree frog), 450 nucleotides. RefSeq lists it as uncharacterized. Lineage: Eukaryota; Metazoa; Chordata; Amphibia; Anura; Myobatrachidae. The transcript is spliced from 5 exons. The record is from RefSeq and is a predicted model, not a curated record.
UAUUCUAAACAUUUGCUAACUUUUCUGCAUUGCUAAUAUAUUUACUCAAUUUUUUUAAAUUAGUUUACUGUUCUGACCUCCCAAUCAUCAUCUGCAAGCCAAAGAAGAUUUUUUCUCCUUAUUACUUUCCAGUUAUCUUGUUUGCCCUUCCAAUCAACUGCAAUCCGCUGAUUAGGACUCCUCAUUAUUUGGUUUUGCGGAAAAGAAACUUGAUCCACAAUGAAUCCACAACAAAGAAUAUGAAAACCAUCUUGAUCCUACAUAACAUAAUCUGAUGCGGACACAUGGAUGACUCUGUAUCCCUCUGUCUUCAGUUCCUUCACCCUGGCUCGCAAGACCGUUUGUGACAUAUCUAAAAAUGAAGUAAAACAGGCAACUUUGUCUACAUGUGUGUUUCCAGAGCUCUGGUCCUCUACAUAAAACAAAUAUAUUUGUAUGCUACAUGCCAGC